AUGACAAAAGACGAGACUCUACUAGUCUUCACUCUUGUGGUUUCCUCUUCCUCGGUUUCUGUUUUCUUAUUCAGGAUCUUGCUUUUCAUGGUUCUCAUCUCUGCAACUCGCGAUUUUCGCGAGAGAACCAAAUCCAAGUUGGUGAAGAUCAUGAUUUGGGCCGGCACGGUAUUGGGAUCGUUUGAUCGAUUUCCUUGA
Molecule: ribosomal RNA, 198 nt
Filed under: Triticum aestivum (bread wheat)
Lineage: Eukaryota; Viridiplantae; Streptophyta; Magnoliopsida; Poales; Poaceae
Description: partial small subunit ribosomal RNA
Source: RNAcentral